This 2276-nucleotide long non-coding RNA is filed under the name Mus musculus (house mouse). The record is from RNAcentral. Lineage: Eukaryota; Metazoa; Chordata; Mammalia; Rodentia; Muridae.
GAGAAUCCCCCCGUAACAGUUCUAGUUUUCAGAGGGGACAGAGAGAAAGAGAGUGAGGUGGGGGGGGAAGGCUGUCUACUCUGUUGAUGAAGGACAAAGCUUUGAUCAUUUUUGUUCAGGCUUCACUUGGCUAGAGGUUUUAGGUUCUUAGACUCCAGUCAGUAGUUGUGUUGGCUUUCUUUCUUUCUCUUAGUCUCUCUGUAGUGUGCUUCUCUCUCUCUCUCUCUCUCUCUCUCUCUCUCUCUCUCUCUCUCUCUCUCUCUCUCUCUCUCCCCUUUCACAUUCUCCUUCUGUUGCCCUCCCUCUCUCAUUUCUCCUCAUAGGUUCAAUGCAGGCAGAUGAGUGUCACAGAUGUAACUGAGGCACUGAAUAAUCAACAUAUCGGAGCCAAUUCCCAGGACGGCAAGAGGGGGAACCGGCAGAGAUGACUGACCCUGGAGGACAAGAGCAUUCUUCUGACAAGUUUUAGCAUGGACUAUCCUCAGGAAAAUGAGAUCCAGGAAGAGUGACGCCCUCCUCGAACUGAAAGAUACUCAGGUUGAUGGAGUCAGGGACGAAGUGGCUUAUCAACAACACAGGAUGUCUGCAGGGAACAGAACUUAUUCAGACAUGGCCCAGAUUGUCUGCCCGUGGGGACUGAGGGACCUCUGAGGGUUACAUCAGGAAGGAGAGGCUGUUUCUACAGGUGCCACAGAAAAAUCGAUGCUGAGCCUCGGAUUAUUGGAUCCCAUAGAACCGUGGAGACUUGGCAGUGAAAUUCUUCCAAAGCAUUCCAUCUGCGCAGGCAGGCAGAGGUUUUCCUGGUUUGGGAAGUAUAAAUCCCGUGGGAAGUCAACUGGAGGACAUUUUACGCGUCACUCAUCCUAUUAUGAGCCUGCUGCUCCUCCGUCUCUUGACAAGGCCACCAACUAGAAGGGCACAGAAUUGUUCAUAAAACAGCUGAAUGUGAAUGUCUUUGGAUUCCCAUUUAAUGAGGGUGUCUUAAUGAGAUGACUGAAGAGUACAACCGCCAAGGCUGAGAUGAUGCAAAGGCUACGUGUGGGUACAGUUCCCGGUGCCUGUGCACACCAUUCAUUGGCAGCUAAAGGACAGGAGCAGCAAUAAGGCUUCCUGGCUACAUUUUCAUGGUGCCACCAACUGCGAGUUAAGCUGACAAACAUUUUGAGAGCUCGGCCCAUUUCAUUCCCAGCAGGAUGGCAGGAGUUAACUAAAACAGAAUAAACUAAAAAUUGUGCCUUCAUUGCACAUUUGCACUGAUUAUCAGCACUGAAAAUGGCUAAGUUCUGCUUAUCAAGGAAAUAAUAUGCUCCAGAGAAUCCUCUAAUUCACCGAAAAUGGACUUGGAUAACAUUUGGGUUCUCAUACUACCACAGUCCUCUUGAGAAGGACAGCCAGGCUUGGGUGGCAGUGGUGAGGAAGGUUCCUUUCUGUCAAGGGAGCUGAUGCCUUAAAGAAGCUAUCUCCAGAUAAAGGGAGAUCUAAGGAAGGAAGCCAACGAAAGACACCAUGUACCAGAAAGCCAAGCAGGAUUUUGACAUUUAUAACCAUAAUCUCUAUAAACAAGAUGAAUUAUGGCUGGGGAUUCAGUUAGUAAAUCAACGAAAAUAAAUCCUGGAGGCUAAUAAUGAAGGGGCCAGGGAAGGAGGCCAAUGCUACAGGGUUAUCUCCUAACCUCAGAUGUUGGAUAAGUCCAUGGAAACAGCAGCGCUUCUGGAUGGCUUCAGAAAGGCUGGAGUGAUUGUUUGGACGAGAAAAACCCGCCUAUUCAUUCAAAGGUACAUGAAUGUUGUCGACACUGUCCCAUCUAAAGGUUCAUCCUUAGAAUUCUGCCUUAGACAAAGGAAGUGCUUGGAGCCCCACCACACCUAAAACCAUGCUUUGAAGGAUCUGCCAAGCUCACUUUUAAUCAUGAGAAAGAAAUUACCCACAUGGAGACAGCAGAAAAUGAGAAAGUAGAGAUCGUGCUGCGAAUAAUUCCAGCGAGUGCCAAGGGGCUAGUUGAGGAAUGGCUUCAUGAGAUGUUAGUCUAUCUAGAACAACAGAUUUGGAUCUAAGCUGGACCUUUGAGAAAGAAAAGACUUCGAGGAAAAACACCUUUCCAUAUGUUUUAUUACCUUUCACCUGAAUUGUUUAAUGCACACUAUCCAACUAUAUUCAUCUUUCUUGCUUCAUGUGUAUUUCUUCUUUUGCUUGAACUGCUUUAGAAUUGACUUUUGAGCUACACAGUCAUUCUGGAUUUUUAAAAAGAGAAUUCUAAUAAAAACUUAUAUAUGUUG